RNAcentral lists this ribosomal RNA (439 nucleotides) under uncultured bacterium. RNAcentral describes it as "bacterial SSU rRNA". It matches the Rfam family "Bacterial small subunit ribosomal RNA", at positions 958 to 1398 of the family's 1533-position model. The record is from RNAcentral.
AACGCGAAGAACCUUACCUACCCUUGACAUCCAGAGAAUUUUGCAGAGAUGCGAAAGUGCCGAAAGGAACUUUGAGACAGGUGCUGCAUGGCUGUCGUCAGCUCGUGUUGUGAGAUGUUGGGUUAAGUCCCGUAACGAGCGCAACCCUUAUCCUUAGUUGCCAUCAUUCAGUUGGGCACUCUAAGGGGACUGCCGGUGAUAAGCCGCGAGGAAGGUGGGGAUGACGUCAAGUCCUCAUGGCCCUUACAGGCUGGGCUACACACGUGCUACAAUGGCGGUGACAAUGGGACGCAAUGGGGAAACCCUGCGCAAAUCUCAAAAAGCCGUCUCAGUUCGGAUUGUGCUCUGCAACUCGAGCACAUGAAGUUGGAAUCGCUAGUAAUCGCAGAUCAGCACGCUGCGGUGAAUACGUUCCCGGGCCUUGUACACACCGGUACUA